GAGGGCGUAGCUCAAGAGGUAGGGCAUGUGCUUAGCAUGCAUGAGGUCCUGAGUUCAAUUCCCUGUACCUCCA
RNAcentral lists this transfer RNA (73 nucleotides) under Camelus bactrianus (Bactrian camel). It matches the Rfam family "tRNA". From Rfam's summary of the family: Transfer RNA (tRNA) molecules are approximately 80 nucleotides in length. Their secondary structure includes four short double-helical elements and three loops (D, anti-codon, and T loops). The record is from Rfam by way of RNAcentral. Lineage: Eukaryota; Metazoa; Chordata; Mammalia; Artiodactyla; Camelidae. RNAcentral also lists the same sequence under 1 other name.